CUUUUUCGUUUCAUUCUUGGCCACAGACUUCACAUGCCCACAACCCCAUGGAGGAGAAACCAGACUAGGACCAAUACCCAUCAAUUCCUUCAGUGUUUUACGCCGGUCACCGUGGAGCUCCGUGUGGUGGGGUUCGGCAAGGAGGUGGUGCUAAAGCAGUGGUGGCGGAUGCGCUGGAGACUUCGCCUGGCCAUGCUACUCCGCCUAGAAGCGCCCACAUCCGGUCGUCGCCCCAUUCGCUGGUGCCGCGCUCCGAUCCACCCCGCCCCUAUUCCGCCUAGGCUGAGCUCCGCCUCCACUGUAGCUCCGCCUCAACGUCUGGCCCAAAGUGGUCUUUGCCACGUUCUUGAACUCCCCCAACACCACGACGGGGUAGGUCCUUCUCUCCAAUCCAAAAUGCUUUUUAGCUAGUCCUCAAAGCUCUUGUUUUUUAAUGGCGAAGGAAUAUUGUUGUUCUUUACAAAAUCUGUGUGGCACCAUUCUAAGAGUUGGCCAUUUAGAAUAGAGGUUGGUAUUUGUCAUCAGCAACAAGGAUUGUUGUUCACUCCUUCCUAUGCAUUUCCCGGUCGAUUGUUGGGCUCUGAAGGACACAAUAACCAAAUGUGUAACUAAAUGAAGGUGUCUUUUUUUUGUGAAAAAAAAAAAAAAAA
RNAcentral lists this long non-coding RNA (650 nucleotides) under Zea mays. RNAcentral describes it as "uncharacterized LOC100274954, transcript variant 2 (LOC100274954)". Lineage: Eukaryota; Viridiplantae; Streptophyta; Magnoliopsida; Poales; Poaceae. The record is from RNAcentral.